AGUACGAGCACCAGCAGUCUAGAUACCGGAGGAUGCCAAUCGCGUUUCCAAGCCCAAUAAAUCAAAUUUUGAUGUGCACAUCUGUUCAAAAUCAUCGCUUUAUUCCAUUGUAUUUUUUUUCUCAGGCUGUCUGCAGUGAAGCUCGGAUAAGAUUUUUUUUUUUUUUCUUCAAAUCUUAUCCCUUGCCAUAUGGUAUGCUGUGACAAGAUGUAAUAAGCAUUUAACAAGUUGGAGAUGAUGCUAGGUGACAUUUGCACUGAUUGUGAUAACUGUUCAUGCUUCCACUUCAGAGGCAGGGUACAGAAUUUUGGCAGGGAGGGAAGUCAGCACAAAACAGCAACCUAGAUAAGACAAAUGAUAUAUCUCUGAAUAACAUGGAGAGAAAAUGUACGUCCUGAUAUAGCAGUAGGUCCACUGCUUGCCAUUCUCCAGUCCUCGCUUAGUUGAAGCGCCUUUGAUCCCUUUCACUCCAGAGCUGGAGGAAGGACAGCAUAUCUGAUGUGAGCCUGGACUGAGGUCCUUAACACUCUCUCUGGGAUAUAUUUACAACUUUGUGACCUCACAUGGCAUCUCCACUAUGCCUGUGAAAAGCAGUGCUAAAAUCCUUGGCGCUAUUCACAUUUGCCCUACAGGCAGCUCCGCAACUGUAGUCAAACUUACUCUGGAGGCAUCCAUCACUUAGUGACACGCGAGUGGACAAAAUUUUCCCCUGAUGACUGCUCCCCUCGUUGAGUGACAUUUGACUAAAGCUGAUAACACGAUGGAAAGUUUCACCCUGGAUUACGUCCCACUUGCUGAACUUUCUGAAGCAAUUAAAAGUAUGCAGGUAGUACAAGAGCAGAUAACAGAGAUGCAAAACGGCCACCAUCUUUCACCAUGCUUUCACGCUGUGAUGGAAGUUAUUUUUCUUUCUCACUUUCAGUGGAGCAGAGUGACCAGGGAUGAUGAGAAAACACUCAUCUGCGCUUGUUUUCAAUCACCAGGCAUUUAUUUCAUGAACAACAGUUCCUCUCUGACAAGAGCAAUAUGGAUGAAAAGUUGAUUACAGUUAUUUAAAGGUUUCCAUCUUUCUACAGCUUUGAUUGGAAGCACUACAGGAGUAAAUGUUACAUAAAAGAACAUGCUUGAAUAAAUACUAGACCCAUCGAUCAUUAGGGUCGAUACUGAGCUCUGAGGCGAUUUUACUUUCUUCAGCUUGUGAUUAAUGCCACUGAUAUUUUCUUUUUUUCCCCUCUUUUUUUUUUUUCUUUUUUUUUUUCCACUGAUAUUUUCUACUCAAAUCAAAGAGGCAACACAUAAAACAUCCUAUAUUGUAUACUUACAACAGAGUCUUUUGCACAUCUGCAAUUAAAUUAUAGGAAUUUUCCACUGUCACUGCUGUGUGCACCAAACAGUUGCUCACACACUCUAAAUGGUAACAAAGGCUUGGCUGGACAAAACAUCCUGCUAUUGUCUGAAUGUUUGGCUUGUCUCAAAAAGAAAGAUGAAGGAUGAGAUUUGGUGGGGGGAAAAAAAGAAAAAUUCUUUUCAGCAGCUGUCUCGUCCAUUUGUUGGGGUCAGACCUCUAGCUUUUAUAUUCAGCCUCCGCUCCAAUCUCAUGUCUUCCCACUGACAAGUCUAACACUUUGUGGCUCGUGGAAUUUGCUACAGAUGAGAACUAGCAUGUAGCACACGUUUACGCCAUGCCUAUGCCC
Molecule: long non-coding RNA, 1694 nt
Organism: Astatotilapia calliptera (eastern happy)
Lineage: Eukaryota; Metazoa; Chordata; Actinopteri; Cichliformes; Cichlidae
Source: Ensembl